CACAGAAUGCCACCGGAUGGGUCAGGCACGCUCUGCCCUUGGUGAAGCUGUGCUGGCUGUCUCAGAUCACCCCUUCAUCUCAGUGUGCCUUAACAUCUCUUCCAGGAGGAUCUGCUCCAUAAUCUUCCCAGGCACAGAGGUGAGGCUCCCCAGCCUGCAGUUCCCAGGUCUUCCUUUCUCCCUUUCUUAAAAUGGGAGUGAUGUUUGCUGUAGUCCUUCAGUCAGCCUGGCUCUGAAGCACCCAGGGCAGCUCUAGACAUCCAUUAUGCAACUUACUGGGCGAGACUGCUGUGAGAACAAAACAUCAUGCUGGAUCAGCUGUUGUGGUGCUUCCUACAAGGUGACAGACUCUGUGAUAUCUUUCAGACGUGCCUCGUUUGCCAUGCUUCCACUGGGCGUUUCUUUCAUCAGGUCUAAACAUUUUGUUGGUUAUAAAGGAGUUACUUUGCCUCAAUCCAGAACUUCAGCAAAGUGUUCUGAUUUUGCAGGUGCCUGUGUUAUUUUAGUGAGAAGAGUGAUCCGCCUUCCCAGUCAUUUGCAUGGUCAGGACUUGAAGCAGCUGUUCCCCACCCCACGUAGUGAUUCUGAAGUAUGAAGAGAGGUUCGGGAGCCAGUGGCAAACGUUUCUCGUUUAGCUUAUUAUGCUAUUUAAUCCAAAUGAUUUCAGCCACCCUAGGAUGCUGUGCCACCCAGGCUCCCUUGUGCACGUGGCAUACAUUAUUGGGACUCUCUGCUCUUGAGAGCUGCUGCCGAGGGCUGACCCCGGGCACAGAAAGGAUGCGGCGAUGUUGGGAUUGUAGCUUGGAACGGCAGGGAAGCUGUGCAUUGCCCUCGGCCAGUCGACUAAUCUAAUGCCUCAUCUUAUUUGCAUACCAAUUAAUUUUUAUUUUAAGAGGACUCAAGUGGACCCAAGUGCCAGACUGUGUCUCAGUAUGCCGUGGGAGGGGACCAGGAGCUGCUCGAUUUGAUCUGAACAACAAGCCCCAGGAUGGUUUUGCGUAAUGAGCCAAAGGCCCCUCUGGCUUAAGUCAGUUCCUUUCCAUCAGAAAUGGGUGAUGGCUGAUGUUUCUGGGUGUCCCGGGGCCUUUUUGGGCAGGUAGGAGCAUGGUGUGCUUAGAUCUUGCUGCACCCUCCACGUGCUGGUGGCACAGGACACAGUCUCUGAGGUGCAGCUCCCAUCACCCACCGUCUCUGCAGAGCAUCCUGGAUGCAGAACAAAACCUAUGGGAGAAGCCUGGCUCCAGGCAGCCCACAUUACUGCGUGGCUGGUGGCAGAGCUCCUCUGAUCAGCCUCAUUUAUUGCAGAGAGGAAGCAAACUCCUCUGCCCAGAGACAGGAAACUGGAGCCACGUGGGCCGUCCGAGAGCCCAGCUGACACCUCACGCCUGCACAGAGCAGCGCUGCUGGGUCUGGGCUUGCUGGCUGCCUGCCACAGCAGCGGCGGUUGUGUUCUCCAUCAUCCACUUUUACAAUGAAGGGGAAACGCAGAGCCUUGCUCUGCACAGGGCUAUUGCAAACCUGAGCGCUCCCUGCCAGCUGCUUCUGAGGGGAAGCAGCUGUGAGCCAGGGCACCUGGGUGCUGGGAGAGCUGGUGCCCGAAGGGGAGGCUGGUGGGCUGAGCCCCUGUGUUCUGCUUCCUGCUGCGCGUCCUUGGAUGUUUACUGCCUCUCCUUCCUGCACUCUGCUGUGUGUGCCAGGAGGACAGGGAGCUCGUGGGCUGCAGCAGGACCUUCCCAGUGGUCCUCGCAGGCAGACACAGCCCUGUUGGCUGCGCUCGGCUGCAGAGGGGUGUGCAGCUGCUGCUGCUGCUUGGGGAAGGGCCGUGCGGUGUUCCCUGCAGCGCCAUCCUGACCCCAAGUCGUUGUCCUGGGACUCCUGCUUCCCAUCUCUAAACUCGCAGUUAUUAGAGGGAAAGGCAGCGUAAGCUUUCUCAGCAGACUCCGUCAUGUUUGUCCUGUUCAAUUACAAUGCAGCAGCAGUGGCACCAGCCGCCGCCUUCCUCCCCUCCCUGGGCUGGAGUGCUGCAGGCUCUCAGCAAAUGCUGUCUGCGGACAUCUGCUGCCUCCUCCCCCCACCGCCUCCUGGCAAGCAGCAGCAGCUUCCAGCGAACAGCCUGCUCUGUGCAUCAUUUCCC
Molecule: long non-coding RNA, 2134 nt
Filed under: Gallus gallus (chicken)
Lineage: Eukaryota; Metazoa; Chordata; Aves; Galliformes; Phasianidae
Source: RNAcentral